RNAcentral lists this ribosomal RNA (216 nucleotides) under Glomeromycotina sp. RNAcentral describes it as "partial small subunit ribosomal RNA". The stretch from base 40 to 216 matches the Rfam family "Eukaryotic small subunit ribosomal RNA", at positions 686 to 864 of the family's 1831-position model. Lineage: Eukaryota; Fungi; Glomeromycota. The record is from RNAcentral.
GGGUCAGUAGGUUGGUCGUGCCACCGGUACGUACUGGUCUCACUGAUUCCUCCUUCCUGAAGAACCGUAAUGCCAUUAAUUUGGUGUUGCGGGGAAACAGGACUGUUACUUUGAGAAAAUUAGAGUGUUUAAAGCUAGCUAACGCUUGAAUACAUUAGCAUGGAAUAAUGAAAUAGGACGAUCGAUCCUAUUUUGUUGGUUUCUAGGAUUGACGUA